AUGGCGCCCUCCAGCCUGCUGUGGGCCCUGGUGGCCUUCACCUGCUCUGGAACCAUUGUUUCCCAGAAAGUUAUUCAAGACCACCCAGCUAUAGCCAAACGAGAGGGGUUGGAAGUCACCCUGAAGUGUCAGUAUCAAACAACUCUCAGUAGCUUCUAUCUUUAUUGGUACAAGCAGCUUCCUGAUGGAAAGAUGACUUUCCUUAUUUAUCAGUAUUCUUAUGACAACAAUGCAGUAAAAGGUCGCUAUUCUAUAAACUUUCAAAAACCAUUCAAAUCCAUCUCCCUCACCAUUUCACCCUUGCAACUGGAAGAUUCAGCCAAGUAUUUCUGUGCUCUUCGAGAGCCCACUGUGUUUAAGGCAACAGUAAAAGCUGGACAAAAACCCCAGAGCUGA
Talpa occidentalis (Iberian mole) is the source of this 396-nucleotide non-coding RNA. NCBI's taxonomy places the organism in Eukaryota, Metazoa, Chordata, Mammalia, Eulipotyphla, Talpidae. The record is from the annotation of a RefSeq genome assembly.